This 26-nucleotide non-coding RNA is filed under the name Mus musculus (house mouse). The record is from RNAcentral. RNAcentral also lists the same sequence under 1 other name. Lineage: Eukaryota; Metazoa; Chordata; Mammalia; Rodentia; Muridae.
UUUGCCUUGCACAAUCCUACAGGAGA